GCCGGGCGUGGCGGCUCACGCCUGUAAUCCCAAAACCUGGGAGGCCGAGGCAGGCCGAUCACUUGAGGUCAGGAGUUCGAGACCAGCCUGGCCAACAUGGUGAAACCCUGUCUCUA
Non-coding RNA from Pan troglodytes (chimpanzee), 116 nucleotides. It matches the Rfam family "Metazoan signal recognition particle RNA". Rfam says of the family: The signal recognition particle (SRP) is a universally conserved ribonucleoprotein. It is involved in the co-translational targeting of proteins to membranes. Lineage: Eukaryota; Metazoa; Chordata; Mammalia; Primates; Hominidae. The record is from Rfam.